CCCUAUGGGGUGCAGCAGGCGAGAAAACUUUGCAAUGUGCGAAAGCACGACAAGGUUAAUCCGAGUGGUUUCUGCUAAAGGAACCUUUUGUCAGUCCUAGAAACACUGAUGAAUAAGGGGUGGGCAAGUUCUGGUGUCAGCCGCCGCGGUAAAACCAGCACCUCAAGUGGUCAGGAUGAUUAUUGGGCCUAAAGCAUCCGUAGCCUGCUUUGUUAGUUUUCGGUUAAAUCCAUACGCUCAACGUAUGGGCUGCCGGGAAUACUGCAAAGCUAGGGAGUGGGAGAGGUAGACGGUACUCGGUAGGAAGGGGUAAAAUCCUUUGAUCUAUUGAUGACCACCUGUGGCGAAGGCGGUCUACCAGAACACGUCCGACGGUGAGGGAUGAAAGCUGGGGGAGCAAACCGGAUUAGAUACCCGGGUAGUCCCAGCUGUAAACUAUGCAAACUCGGUGAUGCAUUGGCUUGAUGCCAAUGCAGUGCCGCAGGGAAGCCGUUAAGUUUGCCGCCUGGGAAGUACGUACGCAAGUAUGAAACUUAAAGGAAUUGGCGGGGGAGCACCACAAGGGGUGAAGCCUGCGGUUCAAUUGGAGUCAACGCCAGAAAUCUUACCCGGAGAGACAGCAGAAUGAAGGUCAAGCUGAAGACUUUACCAGACAAGCUGAGAGGUGGUGCAUGGCC
RNAcentral lists this ribosomal RNA (677 nucleotides) under uncultured marine group I thaumarchaeote. RNAcentral describes it as "bacterial SSU rRNA". It matches the Rfam family "Archaeal small subunit ribosomal RNA", at positions 321 to 999 of the family's 1478-position model. The record is from RNAcentral. Lineage: Archaea; Thermoproteati; Nitrososphaerota.